This is an RNA transcript of Doryrhamphus excisus (bluestripe pipefish), 2816 nucleotides long. It is a transcript of the gene named high affinity cationic amino acid transporter 1-like, with no coding region annotated. The record is from RefSeq and is a predicted model, not a curated record. NCBI's taxonomy places the organism in Eukaryota, Metazoa, Chordata, Actinopteri, Syngnathiformes, Syngnathidae.
GUCUACAAUUAAAUACUUCAGUGUGAGGCGCUUGGAGUUAUUAUUAGUUUGUAAAGAGUGCCAUCUAGCGGUAGAAGGUGGCAAUUGACACCCUGGGUACUAAAAUACAAUAGUCAAAUUAAAAUAAGCCUUCCUCAGUUUGUUUAUUUGUGUAUAUUGUAUGACGUUUAUUACAUCCAAACGUAGAAUGUAUCGGUUAGUUUUUUUCAUCACUAUGACGAAAGCUGCACCAUGUAACACAGCUUCACCAUUCCACAACGACGAAUCUGCAGAUACGGAACAACAGGUGGUUUUUACCUUAACGUCAACGUGACGGCUUACGCUAGCAUGGGAAGUCGCUGUGAAACGACUCUUUAGCAAUAAAACUUAAAGUAGGCAACGCCACAGCGACGUUGCACUGCCGGUUAAGGACUGAAAUAAGAUGAGGAAACAAAUGCAAAGCUACAUUUCCGGUCUUAUACUGAUAGUAUUCGCAGCUACACCGGAAGUAGCCUGAGUUACCCCCAAGGUGGGCUCCUGAAGGUGGCGACAAAGCACAAAAGAAGCUCAUUUUAAAUAGUGAGGUUCGUCCCGGUGUCCGAGCCACGAUGUUUCCACACACCCUGAAGCGCAUUGGCAGGCAGCUGGUGCGUGUCAAGGUGGUGGACUGCUCCUGCGACAACACCCGCCUGUCGCGAUGCCUCGACACCUACGACCUGGUGGCGCUCGGCGUGGGCAGCACGAUGGGCGCCGGCGUCUACGUGGUGACCGGCGCGGUGACCAAAAACAUUUCCGGUCCCGCCGUCGUGAUCUCCUUCCUGAUAGCGGCGAUAGCGGCCGUCAUGGCGGGGCUGUGCUACGCCGAGUUUGGCGCCCGCGUCCCUAAAACGGGCUCAGCCUACCUCUACAGUUACGUCACGGUCGGAGAGCUGCUGGCCUUCAUCACCGGGUGGAACCUCCUCGUCUCUUAUGCCAUCGGAACCUCCAGCGUGGCCAAAACGUGGGCUUCCACCUUUGACGCCCUCAUCGGGAACAGCAUCGAGGCCUGGAGCAAGAAACACAUGCCCAUGAACGCACCCAACGUCCUGGCAGAGUACCCUGACUUAUUUGCAGUCUUCAUCAUCAUGAUCCUCACAGGUGUGCUGGGCUUCGGCGUGAAGGAGUCGGCCCUGGUGACCAAGUUGUUCACCAGCAUCAACAUCAUGGUGUUGGUGUUCGUCAUGAUCGCUGGCUGCAUCAAGGGGGACAGGAAGAACUGGAGCCUGAACACCGAAGACAUCAUCAGUAACGCUACCGAGGGAACAAACAAAACGGCUUUAAAGGAAAGUCUGGGGGCGGGAGGCUUCAUGCCGUUCGGCUGGGAGGGGAUCGUCUCGGGUGCCGCUACGUGUUUCUACGCCUUCAUCGGCUUUGAAUGCAUCACCACUGCAGGUGAGGAGGUGAAGAACCCCCAGAAGGCCAUCCCCGUCAGCAUCAUCACGUCGCUGCUCAUCUGCUUCUCCAUCUAUGUCGGCGUGUCGGCCUCCCUCACUUCCAUGAUUCCGUACUACCAACUGGAUGAAUCCAACCCCCUGCCCAGGGCCUUCACUGACCUGGGGUGGGUGGGCGCCACCUACACUGUGGCCACCGGCUCGCUGUGCGCCUUGUCCACCAGUCUCCUUGGAGCCAUGUUCCCCAUGCCCCGAGUCAUGUGGGCCAUGGCGGAAGAUGGCCUCCUCUUCCGAUGCUUCACCACCAUCAACCACCGCACCAAAACGCCUCUUAUAGCGACCCUGACGUCUGGCGUUCUAGCAGGUCUGAUGGCCAUGCUGUUUGACCUGAAGGACCUGGUUGACCUCAUGUCCAUCGGGACCCUGCUGGCUUACACGCUGGUGGCGGCCUGCGUGCUGGUGCUCAGGUACCAGCCCGAGCGCAGGCCGACCGGCGAGGAGGAAGACGAAGACCGGGACGACGGGAACCGCCCGCCUCAGCAACCCCUCACCUGUGGGAAAUUGAUCCUCUGCGCCGGGACGGAACCCACCCGCUUGUCCGGCACAGUGGUGGCGGUUUGUACCGCCAUGCUCGGUCUUCUGGCGUUGAUCUUCAGCGUGGUCGGCCUCAUGUGUGGGAAAACGCUGUGGUCGCUGGCCGUGCAGGUCUUCACCAUGUCGGCGUGGUUGGCCGUGGCCUUGGUGGUGUGCGUGCAGCCGCAGAACAAGACCAAGCUUUCCUUCAAGGUGCCGUUGGUGCCGUUACUCCCCAUGGUUAGCAUGCUGGUCAACACCUUCCUGAUGAUCCAGCUCAUGAAAGGACCGUGGGCGCACUACACCUGCUGUAUGGCUAUAGGUUUGCUUAUGUAUCUUGGCUAUGGCUUCCGAAACAGCACAGGGGCAGAGGAACGGAGGGCCGAUUUGUACGAACUGGCCAAAUUUCACACCGAGUCGGACGCCACCCAGCAGGACAUCUGAGGACAUCCACCGGGAUUCACAACUAUGUGUGUGGGUGUGUGGGUCAGACACAGCAAGGUUGUUUUUUCCAGCUGGAGUCGCAGGCGGUCCCUCGUUGCCGGGCGGAUGAGCUUUGUUGACACGCCCAGCAGCGGAAGGACGGGGAAAGACGGUGGAAGCGAGGCACUGUUGAUGUGUUUUUAAUUAGUGUUCAAAGUUUUUUUUAUGUCGCUUAUCUUUUCUAUGUGUGUGUGUGUGUGUGUGUGUGUUCAGAAAUGUGUACCUGUAAGACCUGCUAGUUUCUAUUUUUUUAGCACAAUACCUGAAAUGCACUUUUGUACUACUUGGAUUUGUAGCAAUGAUGAACAAUGAAGGAGUUUACAAUAAAUAUUUUUAAAUGUUUUCAAUUUG